Molecule: long non-coding RNA, 3604 nt
Filed under: Triticum aestivum (bread wheat)
Lineage: Eukaryota; Viridiplantae; Streptophyta; Magnoliopsida; Poales; Poaceae
Description: long non-coding RNA (TAES_LNC022439)
Source: RNAcentral
UUCAUUGUUGAGUCCUCCUUCGGUAACCUGUUUCUGUCCAUGUCCAACACCGUCGUCACUCCCUACUCAUCGUAAUGAUAGCAAAAGACAAACAAAUAAAUACCAAAGCAAUAACAAAUCCAAAUAACAUCCAAAACAAUUUAAGAGUGGGUGGAUAGCAAGACAUUGAUCAAGAUGGAGACUCCGAAAUGAGGUAGCACGAUUGGAUGUAAGAGAGAGGAUUCAUUGAAGUGACAUGGUUGAGGUUGACACAACUAAGAAAUAUGUGGCGAUCAAGACUAACGUUCCAAUACGAGUAUGCAAUUAAACACUAGUAGUGCCCACUACACAUCUCGACAAACUAUAUAGGAAACUACUAUCUAACAAACACAAUGGCAUCAACACACAUGAAAAGGAACCAUCCUAUGCAUUUAACCACACAGUUUACAACAUGACAUGAAGAAGGUAAUAGUUAACCACAAAUAGAUAUUUAGAUAGAAUCUAAAUAUUUAUAAUGGUCAAUAGUAGUCAAACAUAUACGUCAACUAUAUAAUAAUUCAAAAGGCAACAGUUCCGUAAGACAAACGAACAAACAUUACAAACCAUACUAGUUAAGCAAUCAAAAAUCACUCAACAACAUGAAUCGAAUUGACGUAGGUCUAACCCUAUAACAUUAUUAAUAUAAAAUAGGAUCAACUCUAUUAUGACAAACCAAGUCAUUUGUCAAACAAUUAACAAGAAACUGUACAAGACAUGGAACAAAAGAGUGAACUACUAUCCAGGCAUGAUAUGAUUAAGAUUAAUAAUCAACCACAAGUAAAUAUUUGGAUGUAUCCAAAUAUUUAUAAUGGUUAACAAUAGGCAAAGACUAAACACCAAUCAUAACAACUAUUAGCAAGCAUUUCUAUAACAAAAGACAAACCAAUGCUAUCACAAAACUAAUUGGAAAAAUUAAAUAACCAGACACAUCAUACAAGGCAUGUGAGUAUAGAAUCGUGAAGAGGUCUUAUCUAAUAAGACAAGCAUUAAACAUAUGAGUGACCAUGAGAAGACACUUAAACUAGGACACUCUUUAUAAUAAAGGAAACAACUAAUAUCCAAAUGACCUCUGGCAAAAAGAUUACCACAACAUGAUUAACAACAAAGCAACGAUGUGCACUAAGCAUAUGAGAAAGACACAACUCAACUAUUGAAAGGUAAACUAUCCUAAUCAUGUGAUGAGCUAAUGCAACAUGUGCCAAACACUCAUAACACUAACACCAGACAAGUCAAGCAUAUAUGAGAAACACAAGUACAACUAUAACACAUGGAAUAUAAUAACACAUGAAAGAUAACUAGCAUGACUUGAUGUCUAGACUUAGGCAUACCACAAAUGCAACAGUAAGCUAAACCAGAUAUGAUGCUAAGCAUAGAUGAUCAUGACAUGAGAUACCAAAAUAUGCUACUAAUAAAAUGCAACAUGUAACUAUGAGAUAACCUAGUUGAUAACAAGUGACCUAAAGAUCAAGCACGACGUUAGCAUACAACACUACCAUGCUAGUUAUGAUAAAUGAGAACAUGGAAGCAUACUAAGCACGUACAAAUGUAUACAACUAUCAUCUCAUCAACCAAAUCAACAUGUGUUAUAGAAGCAUGAAUAACAAGAUGACGUGCAUUUCCUAUCUAGUACGCCAUACACUUGCAAGUACAUAGAUAGCUAGACAACUUAGGCAUGAUCUAGUACCUGAAUUGCUACGCACAUGCUAUACAACCUAAUUAUGCAAUCACAAUAACAUGACAUAGUAUUGAUAAAGCACAAUUUACUCAAUAGAAGAAUGUAUGAGACCAACAAACUACUAUAAUGUAUAUCUAACAAUUAAAGGCUAACCAAUGCAUGAACAUAAUAUACAAACUAGCAAUGAUAUACCACAUGUAGCCAUAUAACCAAAAUAUGCAUUAUACUUUGAGUAAGUAGUAGCAUGGCAUGUUUAGCAACUAAGCAUGUGCGACUACCAUCCUAGGUAAACAAAACAUCUAGGAUAAUUAACAAGAAGUAUAAAUUAAAUUCUAUGAUACAAGCAAUAACAAUACAAUUCUGAAUCAUGGCAUGAAGCAACCAACCACAUAAAAUAAUGGAUAACAAACAUCUACAAAACAAGAGGAUCAUCUAGGCAACAGUAUAUUAUGCGACAAGAAACACAAUGGGUUUGUUCUCAAAUAAGAAAGCAUAUCAUUUGGCUUCUAGCAUAAAAGAACUAUGCAACAACACGUAUGAAAAAAAUGUGAACAUCGAUCGUAGACAUGACAAUGAUUUCAAACCAAUAGAACAAACAUGCGACAUGGAUGGAAAUGAAUAUUUAAACCAUAUCUAAGAUAUUAGCAUGCUAAUCAAAAUUAAAUAAUCAAUACAUCAAGUAUUUCAUAAUUAAAGAAAUCAAGCAAAAACAAUAAUUCUACAAGGUUCUACGCACGGAGAAUAUCACUAGAAAUCUCUACACAUUUUUAAUAUAGAACAACAAACAGUACCAAAUAUUUCUAAAAUAAUAAAUAAAAGAUUGCAUCAAUAAUAAUCUAAAUCUAAUUAAAAUAAUAACACCCGCCAAGCACGUACGAACAAUGAUAAUCAAAUACACCAAUCAACUUCUACACGUGGUAAACAUUCACAAACACUUGUAACUCGCAUAACACAAGGCUACAAAAUUAUAUGAUAUUUAGUAACUCAAAAUCAAUCUAUAUUAAAAACACAAAGUAGUACACAUGACUAUAAUUCAUAAAUAUUAGUACGCAUGCAUAAAAGUGAAAUACGUGCUAAUACAGAUUAUUGAGCCGAAACACUGUACAAGUAUUUUUGCAAUUUAAACAAGAGUAAACUAAAUCUAGUAAAUCAUAGGACACACACAAAUUAUGAGAUAGCUAGCACACACUCCUACGCGUAUCAAGAACACAAGAAAAUUACAUAUUAAUAAAUAGUCCGAUCAACAACCAAAAAUGUAUAAUAAAACUCGAUUAACCAAACAAGUAAUCUAACUCCACUAUGGGAUUGCUACAGCCACGUUUCGUCUAUUGGGGUCAAGAUCAAAUGAUGAACAAAAACGAUGAAAAUAUGACCAUGACCUACGGUUAAUGUGACGGAUAGCAUCGACGUGCCCAACAACAUAAAUAGGAGGAACUUUGAUGUCUAGGAGAUAAUAUGAGUGAUGUUGAGAAGGUGUGCAUGAGGAAUUUGGAUAGAGGCUCACCGAGUUGGACGGAGCGGUGUGGUGAACUUGACGAACAGUGUACACGCACAUGCGAAAUUCUUCACGUGUGAUCGACAGAAUGCGUUCCUUCUUUUCUGAAUGGAUUCGCCACAUCAAAGGGAACCUUCUGGCGCAAGGGCAUGGAUGGAGAUGCUUGAAGUUGCCGGGAACAAGCACCCGCGUUCAUGGAGCAGCAGCACUUGGUGGAUGUAUUUUGGAAGAACAGAGAAGGGAGAGGACAGGAGUUUCUGCGGGGUGGAAGAGGAAAUCCUGGAGCAUGUCUAGAUAUCUUCAAAACCGAAAAUGAUGGAGAUUUAAGGGAGUUAGUGGAGGGGCUCUUUCUCUCCUGUAGGUUUUCUUCUCUGUAAUGGUGUGCGUGCACGUGAGUGGUAGAGGAGAGGAAUCAC